RNAcentral lists this ribosomal RNA (1424 nucleotides) under uncultured organism. RNAcentral's name for it is "SSU rRNA". It matches the Rfam family "Bacterial small subunit ribosomal RNA". The record is from RNAcentral.
AGUCGAGGGGCAUCAAGAAGAAAGCUCAGCUUUCUUUGCUGGCGACCGGCGCACGGGUGAGUAACACGUAUCCAACCAGCCCUUUACUCGGGGAUAGCCUUUCGAAAGAAAGAUUAAUACCCGAUAGCAUAAUGAUUCCGCAAGGUUUCAUUAUUAAAGGAUUCCGGUAAAGGAAGGGGAUGCGUUCCAUUAAGUUGUUGGAGAGGUAACGGCCCACCAAGCCUUCGAUGGAUAGGGGUUCUGAGAGGAAGGUCCCCCACAUUGGAACUGAGACACGGUCCAAACUCCUACGGGAGGCAGCAGAGAGGAAUAUUGGUCAAAGGGCGGUAGCCUGAACCAGCCAAGUAGCGUGAAGGAUGAAGGCUCUAUGGGUCGUAAACUUCUUUUAUGUAAGAAUAAAGUGCAGUAUGUAUACUGUUUUGUAUGUAUUAUAUGAAUAAGGAUCGGCUAACUCCGCGCCAGCAGCCGCGGUAAUACGGAGGAUCCGAGCGUUAUCCGGAUUUAUUGGGUUUAAAGGGAGCGUAGGAGGACUGGUAAGUCAGUUGUGAAAGUUUGCGGCUCAACCGUAAAAUUGCAGUUGAUACUGUCAGUCUUGAGUACAGUAGAGGAGGGCGGAAUUCGCGGCGUAGCGGAGAAAUGCUUAGAUAUCACGAAGAACUCCGAUUGCGAAGGCAGCUCACUGGACUGCAACUGACACUGAUGCUCGAAAGUGUGGGUAUCAAACAGGAUUAGAUACCCUGGUAGUCCACACAGUAGACGAUGAAUACUCGCUGUUUGCGAUAUACAGUAAGCGGCCAAGCGAAAGCAUUAAGUAUUCCACCUGGGGAGUACGCCGGCAACGGUGAAACUCAAAGGAAUUGACGGGGGCCCGCACAAGCGGAGGAACAUGUGGUUUAAUUCGAUGAUACGCGAGGAACCUUACCCGGGCUUAAAUUGCAGUGGAAUGAUGUGGAAACAUGUCAGUGAGCAAUCACCGCUGUGAAGGUGCUGCAUGGUUGUCGUCAGCUCGUGCCGUGAGGUGUCGACUUAAGUGCCAUAACGAGCGCAACCCUUAUCUUCAGUUACUAACAGGUUAUGCUGAGGACUCUGGAGAGACUGCCGUCGUAAGAUGUGAGGAAGGUGGGGAUGACGUCAAAUCAGCACGGCCCUUACGUCCGGGGCUACACACGUGUUACAAUGGGGGGUACAGAAGGCAGCUAGCGGGUGACCGUAUGCUAAUCCCAAAAUCCUCUCUCAGUUCGGAUCGAAGUCUGCAACCCGACUUCGUGAAGCUGGAUUCGCUAGUAAUCGCGCAUCAGCCACGGCGCGGUGAAUACGUUCCCGGGCCUUGUACACACCGCCCGUCAAGCCAUGGGAGCCGGGGGUACCUGAAGUACGUAACCGCAAGGAUCGUCCUAGGGUAAAACUGGUGACUGGGGCUAAGU